RNAcentral lists this ribosomal RNA (261 nucleotides) under uncultured bacterium. RNAcentral describes it as "partial 16S ribosomal RNA". It matches the Rfam family "Bacterial small subunit ribosomal RNA", at positions 30 to 293 of the family's 1533-position model. The record is from RNAcentral.
AUUGAACGCUGGCGGCAUGCUUUACACAUGCAAGUCGAACGGCAGCGCGGGGUAACCUGGCGGCGAGUGGCGAACGGGUGAGUAAUAUAUCGGAACGUACCCAAGAGUGGGGGAUAACGUAGCGAAAGUUACGCUAAUACCGCAUACGAUCCAAGGAUGAAAGCAGGGGACCGCAAGGCCUUGUGCUCCUGGAGCGGCCGAUAUCUGAUUAGCUAGUUGGUAGGGUAAAGGCCUACCAAGGCAUCGAUCAGUAGCUGGUCU